This is a long non-coding RNA of Oncorhynchus tshawytscha (Chinook salmon), 1916 nucleotides long. The record is from Ensembl. NCBI's taxonomy places the organism in Eukaryota, Metazoa, Chordata, Actinopteri, Salmoniformes, Salmonidae.
UUUUAUUUUUGCAAAUACGUUCACUUUAUUUGUAUUUUUUACCACAAAAUAAUGAAAUAUGCAGCAUCCCUUAAUUUUUACAUUAAAAAUAGUUAUUACAAUCAAUGAUAUGAGCAUUAUAUGGAUACAAGUAUGAAGUUGCAGUGCAAAGGCUUACAAAAUCUUGAGCAAAAUCAAAUAUAUUACUUUAAAAUUCUUUACCCUAAAUUACAGAGGUGCAAAUGAUCCCUUUGGGCCUCAACCAAUAUCCACAUAAAAUUAGUUCAAACAUAUUUCAUUUAGAUCUAAUAAAACUAUUCAAAAUAAAAAAUCCACCUUGUAUAAACUCACCUUUCCAUGUUAAGACUCCUCCUUACCUGUCCACAAAUAAAAUAUAGGUGAUCAACUAAAUCCUCCGGUCUUUUUACUGACCCUUAUUCCAAUCACAGAGGAGGCUUUACCUCUUCUCUGUGUCUGGUCAGGUCUGGUCAGGUUUGGUCUGGUCAUUAUGCUGGUCAGGUCAGGUCUGGUCAGGUAUGGUCAUUAUGCUGGUCAGGUCAGGUCAGGUCUGGUCAGGUCAGGUCAGGUCUGGUCAGGUCUGGUCAGGUCAGGUCAGGUCAGGUCUGGUCAGGUCUGGUCAGGUCAGGUCUGGUCUGGUCAGGUCAGGUCUGGUCAGGUCUGGUCAGGUCAGGUCUGGUCAGGUCAGGUCAGGUCUGGUCAGGUCUGGUCAGGUCAGGUCUGGUCAGGUCAGGUCAGGUCAGGUCAGGUCUGGUCAGGUCAGGUCAGGUCAGGUCUGGUCAGGACAUUAUGUUGGUCAGGUCUGGUCAGGACAUUAUGCUGGUCAGGUCUGGUCAGGACAUCAUGCUGGUCUGGUCUGGACAUUAUGCUGGUCAGGUCUGGUCAGGUCUGGUCAGGACAUUAUGCUGGUCGGGUCAGGACAUUAUGCUGGCCAGGUCUGGUCAGGACAUUAUGCUGGUCGGGUCAGGACAUUAUGCUGGCCAGGUCUGGUCAGGACAUUAUGCUGGUCAGGUCUGGUCUGGUCAGGUCAGGUCUGGUCAGGACAUUAUGCUGGUCAGGUCUGGUCAGGUCAGGUCAGGUCUGGUCAGGACAUUAUGCUGGUCAGGUCAGGUCUGGUCUGGUCAGGUCUGGUCAGGUCAGGUCUGGUCAGGUUUGGUCAGGACAUUAUGUUGGUCAGGUCUGGUCAGGACAUUAUGCUGGUCAGGUCUGGUCUGGUCAGGUCAGGUCUGGUCAGGUCUGGCCAAGUCUGGUCUGGUCAGGACAUUAUGCUGGUCAGGUCUGGUCAGGACAUUAUGCUGGUCUCGUCUGGACAUUAUGCUGGUCAGGUCUGGUCUGGUCAGGUCAGGUCUGGUCACAACAUUAUGCUGGUCAGGUCAGGUCAGGUCUGGUCAGGUCUGGUCAGGACAUUAUGCUGGUCAGGUCUGGUCUGGUCAGGUCUGGUCUGGUCAGGUCAGGUUGGUCUGGUCAGGUCUGGUCUGGUCUGGUCUGGUCUGGUCUGGUCAGGUCAGGUCUGGUCAGGUCAUGUCUAAAGUCUGGUCAGGUCUGGCCUGGUCUGGUCUGGUCAGGUCUGGUCUGGUCAGGUCUGGUCAGGACAUUAUGCUGGUCUGGUCUGGUCAGGACAUUAUGCUGGUCAGGUCUGGUCAGGUCAGGUCAGGUCAGGUCAGGUCAGGUCAGGUCAGGUCAGGUCUGGAUCUGGUCAGGUCAGGACAUUAUGCUGGUCUGGUCAGGGCAGGUCUGGUUAGGUCUGGACAGGUCAGGUCAGGUCAGGACAUUAUGCAGGUCUGGUCAGUUCUGGUCAGGUCUGGUCAGGUCUGGUCAGGACAUUGAUGCUUGAUCCUUUCACUGCAUUGCCAUUGUAGCCUCAGCAUCUGAAAAUACACAAGACAACAGAAUAAUCUGAUUAGGACAUAGAACAUUUC